UACGUAGGGUGCAAGCGUUAAUCGGAAUUACUGGGCGUAAAGCGUGCGCAGGCGGCUUUGCAAGACAGAUGUGAAAUCCCCAGGCUUAACCUGGGAACUGCAUUCGAGACUGCAUUGCUAGAGUAUGGGAGAGGGAAGUGGAAUUUCCGGUGUAGCGGUGAAAUGCGUAGAUAUCGGAAGGAACACCGGUGGCGAAGGCGGGUCUCUGGGCCGAUACUGACGCUGAGGAGCGAAAGCGUGGGGAGCGAACAGG
RNAcentral lists this ribosomal RNA (253 nucleotides) under uncultured bacterium. RNAcentral's name for it is "partial 16S ribosomal RNA". It matches the Rfam family "Bacterial small subunit ribosomal RNA", at positions 524 to 776 of the family's 1533-position model. The record is from RNAcentral.